This 468-nucleotide ribosomal RNA is filed under the name uncultured bacterium. RNAcentral's name for it is "partial 16S ribosomal RNA". It matches the Rfam family "Bacterial small subunit ribosomal RNA", at positions 28 to 507 of the family's 1533-position model. The record is from RNAcentral.
GACGAACGCUGGCGGCGUGCUUAACACAUGCAAGUCGAACGGAAAGGCCCUGCUUUUGUGGGGUGCUCGUGUGGCGAACGGGUGAGUAACACGUGAGUAACCUGCCCUUGACUUUGGGAUAACUUCAGGAAACUGGGGCUAAUACCGGAUAGGAGCUCCUGCUGCAUGGUGGGGGUUGGUAAGUUUCGGCGGUUGGGGAUGGACUCGCUGCUUCUCAGCUUGUUUGUUGGGUAGUGGCUUACCAAGGCUUUGACGGGUAGCCGGCCUGAGAGGCUGACCGGCCACAAUGGGACUGAGAUACGGCCCAGACGGCUACGGGAGGCAGCAGGGGGGAAUAUUGCACAAUGGGCGGAAGCCUGAUGCAGCAACGCAGCGAGCGGGAUGACGGCCUUCGGGUUGUAAACCGCUUUCGCCUGUGACGAAGCGGGAGUGACGGUAAUGGGUAAAGAAGCACCGGCUAACUACGUG